RNAcentral lists this ribosomal RNA (440 nucleotides) under uncultured bacterium. RNAcentral's name for it is "partial 16S ribosomal RNA". It matches the Rfam family "Bacterial small subunit ribosomal RNA", at positions 339 to 795 of the family's 1533-position model. The record is from RNAcentral.
CUACGGGCCGCAGCAGUGGGGAAUAUUGCACAAUGGAGGAAACUCUGAUGCAGCAACGCCGCGUGGAGGAUGACACUUUUCGGAGCGUAAACUCCUUUUAUAUAGGAAGAAGAUGACGGUACUAUAUGAAUAAGCGCCGGCUAACUCCGUGCCAGCAGCCGCGGUAAUACGGAGGGCGCAAGCGUUACUCGGAAUCACUGGGCGUAAAGAGCGUGUAGGCGGAUUAAAAAGUCAGAAGUGAAAUCCUAUAGCUUAACUAUAGAACUGCUUCUGAAACUCUUAAUCUAGAAGUAUGGGAGAGGUAGAUGGAAUUUCUGGUGUAGGGGUAAAAUCCGUAGAGAUCAGAAGGAAUACCGAUUGCGAAGGCGAUCUACUAGAACAUUAUUGGCGCUGAGACGCGAAAGCGUGGGGAGCAAACAGGAUUAGAUACCCCCGUAGUC